This 268-nucleotide long non-coding RNA is filed under the name Lathyrus oleraceus (garden pea). RNAcentral's name for it is "Pisum sativum (pea) long non-coding RNA (PSAT_LNC037843)". Lineage: Eukaryota; Viridiplantae; Streptophyta; Magnoliopsida; Fabales; Fabaceae. The record is from RNAcentral.
UUCUUCUUCCCCAAUCCAAAUUAUUCUGUUAAAUUGUGAUUUGGUGUUGUUUCUUUUUGUUUUCUUUUUAUGUUGUUAAUCUAGUGUUGUAAUUGAUGAUCGAAAGGGUGAAUUUUUUUUGUGUUGUUAUUUUUAUGAUGUGAGGUUUGUUUCUCUAUUUUUCGGUGUGAAGAUUGUUGUUAUAUUUUUGUUCUUGUUUUGCAGGUUUGGAUGGUUAGUGUUGGCAAGUGAGUAUGAUGGUAGUAUGAUGGUUUAAGUAGGUUCAAUU